Molecule: unclassified non-coding RNA, 401 nt
Filed under: soil metagenome
Description: partial contains 5.8S ribosomal RNA, internal transcribed spacer 2, and large subunit ribosomal RNA
Rfam family: 5.8S ribosomal RNA (bases 1-121)
Source: RNAcentral
GAUGAAGAACGUAGCGAAAUGCGAUAAGUAAUGUGAAUUGCAGAAUUCAGUGAAUCAUCGAAUAUUUGAACGCACCUUGCGCCCCUUGGUUAUUCCAAAGGGCAUGCCUGUUUGAGUAUCAUGAACACCUCAACUCUUGUGGUUUCCCACAAUGAGCUUGGACUGUGGAGGUUUUGUUGGCCCUGUGGUCAGCUCCUCUCAAAUGGAUCAGCUUACCGGUGUUUGGUGGCAUUACGGGUGUGAUAACUAUCUACGCUCGUGGUCGUCUCCAAAUAACCUCCAGUGAUGGAGGUUCGCUGGAGCUUAUAAAUGUCUCUCCCCAGUGAAGACAGCCUUUGAACGUUCGAUCUCAAAUCAGGUAGGACUACCCGCUGAACUUAAGCAUAUCAAUAAGCGGAGGA